UACAGAGGGUGCGAGCGUUAAUCGGAAUUACUGGGCGUAAAGCGCACGUAGGCGGCUACUCAAGUCAGAGGUGAAAGCCCAGGGCUCAACCUUGGAACUGCCUUUGAAACUAGGUAGCUAGAAUUCUGGAGAGGUCAGUGGAAUUCCGAGUGUAGAGGUGAAAUUCGUAGAUAUUCGGAAGAACACCAGUGGCGAAGGCGACUGACUGGACAGAUAUUGACGCUGAGGUGCGAAAGCGUGGGGAGCAAACAGG
This 253-nucleotide ribosomal RNA is filed under the name uncultured bacterium. RNAcentral describes it as "partial 16S ribosomal RNA". It matches the Rfam family "Bacterial small subunit ribosomal RNA", at positions 524 to 776 of the family's 1533-position model. The record is from RNAcentral.